This 351-nucleotide small RNA is filed under the name Pan troglodytes (chimpanzee). RNAcentral's name for it is "processed transcript". Lineage: Eukaryota; Metazoa; Chordata; Mammalia; Primates; Hominidae. The record is from RNAcentral.
GAGUGAAAGGCGCGGAGCGGAGGCCGCGGAGGCUCCUCGGUCCUUCAGCACCCCUCGGCCCGACGCACCCACGCCCCUCACCCCCCGAGAGCCGAACGCUCCCCGCACCGCCCCCGGUCCCUUCCCUCGGCCGGGAGCGACUUCUGCAGCUCGUUCUUCCGAAUCGCACCAGCAAUGCCGGCCAGCCGUAGAGGGAGGAAGAGCCCGGGGAGCCCGAGCAUAGCGUAAACGGCUCUCUGACCUUAAUUUCAUCCUGCAUGGCGAAUCUCUGCCGUCUCUCUGAACGCAGAAGGGUCUGAGACUGGCCGUCUCCUUUUCUUUCCUUGUAAUAAACAUUUUUCUUUCUUCCCA